AAAUUGAAGAGUUUGAUCAUGGCUCAGAUUGAACGCUGGCGGCAGGCCUAACACAUGCAAGUCGAACGGUAACAGGAAGCAGCUUGCUGCUUYGCUGACGAGUGGCGGACGGGUGAGUAAUGUCUGGGAAACUGCCUGAUGGAGGGGGAUAACUACUGGAAACGGUGGCUAAUACCGCAUAACGUCGCAAGACCAAAGAGGGGGACCUUCGGGCCUCUUGCCAUCAGAUGUGCCCAGAUGGGAUUAGCUUGUUGGUGAGGUAACGGCUCACCAAGGCGACGAUCCCUAGCUGGUCUGAGAGGAUGACCAGCCACACUGGAACUGAGACACGGUCCAGACUCCUAA
Molecule: ribosomal RNA, 345 nt
Filed under: Salmonella enterica
Lineage: Bacteria; Pseudomonadati; Pseudomonadota; Gammaproteobacteria; Enterobacterales; Enterobacteriaceae
Description: bacterial SSU rRNA
Source: RNAcentral